AGAUUGAACGCUGGCGGCAGGCCUAACACAUGCAAGUCGAGCGGUAGAGAGGUGCUUGCACCUCUUGAGAGCGGCGGACGGGUGAGUAAUGCCUAGGAAUCUGCCUAGUGGUGGGGGAUAACGUUCGGAAACGGACGCUAAUACCGCAUACGUCCUACGGGAGAAAGCGGGGGACCUUCGGGCCUCGCGCCAUUAGAUGAGCCUAGGUCGGAUUAGCUAGUUGGUGAGGUAAUGGCUCACCAAGGCGACGAUCCGUAACUGGUCUGAGAGGAUGAUCAGUCACACUGGAACUGAGACACGGUCCAGACUCCGUACGGGAGGCAGCAGGUGGGAAUAUUAGGACAAUGGGCGAAAGCCUGAUCCAGCCAUCGCCGCGUGUGUGAAGAGGUCUGGAUUGUAAGCUAGUUAGUGGUAGGUAGGUUAGUAACUUAA
This 432-nucleotide ribosomal RNA is filed under the name uncultured soil bacterium. RNAcentral describes it as "bacterial SSU rRNA". It matches the Rfam family "Bacterial small subunit ribosomal RNA", at positions 26 to 463 of the family's 1533-position model. The record is from RNAcentral.